Molecule: microRNA precursor, 59 nt
Filed under: Lingula anatina
Lineage: Eukaryota; Metazoa; Brachiopoda; Lingulata; Lingulida; Lingulidae
Description: Lan-Mir-375_pre stem-loop
Source: RNAcentral
ACGUUGGCCGUACGAACAGGGGUUCCAGUGCAGAUACUUUGUUCGUUCGGCUCGCGUUA